RNAcentral lists this ribosomal RNA (497 nucleotides) under uncultured bacterium. RNAcentral describes it as "partial 16S ribosomal RNA". It matches the Rfam family "Bacterial small subunit ribosomal RNA", at positions 28 to 507 of the family's 1533-position model. The record is from RNAcentral.
GAUGAACGCUGGCGGCGUGCCUAAUACAUGCAAGUCGAGCGAACAGACGAGGAGCUUGCUCCUCUGACGUUAGCGGCGGACGGGUGAGUAACACGUGGAUAACCUACCUAUAAGACUGGGAUAACUUCGGGAAACCGGAUCUAAUACCGGAUAAUAUAUUGAACCGCAUGGUUCAAUAGUGAAAGACGGUUUUGCUGUCACUUAUAGAUGGAUCCGAGCCGCAUUAGCUAGUUGGUAAGGUAACGGCUUACCAAGGCAACGAUGCGUAGCCGACCUGAGAGGGUGAUCGGCCACACUGGAACUGAGACACGGUCCAGACUCCUACGGGAGGCAGCAGUAGGGAAUCUUCCGCAAUGGGCGGAAGCCUGACGGAGCAAAGCCGCGUGAGUGAUGAAGGUCUUCGGAUCGUAAAACUCUGUUAUUAGGGAAGAACAAAUGUGUAAGUAACUAUGCACGUCUUGACGGUACCUAAUCAGAAAGCCACGGCUAACUACGUG